GCUAAUACCGGAUAACAACAGAUGAUGCCUAUCAACUGUUUAAAAGAAUGGUUCUGCUAUCACUCUUGGAUGGACCUGCGGUGCAUUAGCUAGUUGGUAGGGUAACGGCCUACCAAGGCGAUGAUGCAUAGCCGAGUUGAGAGACUGAUCGGCCACAUUGGGACUGAGACACGGCCCAAACUCCUACGGGAGGCAGCAGC
RNAcentral lists this ribosomal RNA (200 nucleotides) under uncultured Lactobacillus sp. Its description in RNAcentral is "partial 16S ribosomal RNA". It matches the Rfam family "Bacterial small subunit ribosomal RNA", at positions 162 to 355 of the family's 1533-position model. Lineage: Bacteria; Bacillati; Bacillota; Bacilli; Lactobacillales; Lactobacillaceae. The record is from RNAcentral.